UGUGUAGGCGGCCAUGCAAGUCGGAUGUGAAAUCCCCGGGCUCAACCCGGGAAGUGCACCCGAAACUGCAUGGCUUGAGUACCGGAGAGGUUGGUGGAAUUCUCGGUGUAGAGGUGAAAUUCGUAGAUAUCGAGAGGAACACCGGUGGCGAAGGCGGCCAACUGGACGAGUACUGACGCUGAGACACGAAAGCGUGGGGAGCAAACAGGAUUAGAUACCCUGGUAGUCCACGCCGUAAACGAUGGGUGCUAGAUGUCACGGGCUUUGACUCCUGUGGUGCCGUAGCCAACGCAUUAAGCACCCCGCCUGGGAAGUACGGCCGCAAGGCUAAA
Molecule: ribosomal RNA, 332 nt
Filed under: uncultured bacterium
Lineage: Bacteria
Description: bacterial SSU rRNA
Rfam family: Bacterial small subunit ribosomal RNA
Source: RNAcentral